UAAGCGGAGGAAAAGAAACUAACAAGGAUUCCCCUAGUAACUGCGAGUGAAGCGGGAAAAGCUCAAAUUUAAAAUCUGGUGGUCUUUGGCCAUNCGAGUUGUAAUCUAGAGAAGCGUCUUCCGCGCUGGACCGUGCACAAGUCUCCUGGAACGGAGCGUCGUAGAGGGUGAGAAUCCCGUCUUUGGCAUGGACACACCAGGGCUUUUGUGAUGCGCUCUCGAAGAGUCGAGUUGUUUGGGAAUGCAGCUCAAAAUGGGUGGUGAACUCCAUCUAAAGCUAAAUAUUGGCGAGAGACCGAUAGCGAACAAGUACCGUGAGGGAAUGAUGAAAAGCACUUUGGAAAGAGAGUGAAACAGUACGUGAAAUUGUUGAAAGGGAAACGCUUGAAGUCAGUCGCGUCGACCGAGACUCAGCCUCGCCUCGGCUUGGUGUACUUCUCGGCCCGACGGGUCAGCAUCAAUUUCGCCUCUUGGAUAAUGGCGAGGGAAACGCGACACCUUUACGGUGUGUUAUAGUCUCUCGUCGCAUGCAAGGGUCGGGAUUGAGGAACUCAGCACGCGCCUUUGGGCGUCGGGGCUUUGCCUACGAUACGUGCUUAGGAUGUUGGCGUAAUGGCUUUAAACGACC
This 628-nucleotide ribosomal RNA is filed under the name uncultured Russulaceae. Its description in RNAcentral is "LSU rRNA". It matches the Rfam family "Eukaryotic large subunit ribosomal RNA", at positions 47 to 649 of the family's 3401-position model. Lineage: Eukaryota; Fungi; Basidiomycota; Agaricomycetes; Russulales; Russulaceae. The record is from RNAcentral.